Molecule: long non-coding RNA, 6470 nt
Filed under: Spirodela polyrhiza (greater duckweed)
Lineage: Eukaryota; Viridiplantae; Streptophyta; Magnoliopsida; Alismatales; Araceae
Description: long non-coding RNA (SPOL_LNC000913)
Source: RNAcentral
GAAUCAGUUUUCUCUCCUAUGAGAACCUUUCCUUUUUUGCUUGUGGAUUCAGGCACCCCCUUGUAGACUCAAGGGUUGGAGACUCCAAAUCUGUGGAUUCAGAGGUUGGUUUCUUCUCCAAGAUUAGAGCUUUGUGGAUUCAAGCCCAAAUCUUAUUUAUCUUCCGCAUCACUACUGCGUUAGUUGGUAUCAAAGCAAGUCAACAUUUCAGUCAAGGUUCAAAGAUGUCACGAGGUAAAUCUGCUCAUAUUGGUAAUGAUGAUUCACCUGAAGUUGCUCCUAUGUUAAAGUCAGAUUUUCUGUUAUUUCAAGAUCGAAUAGAUCAGAAAUUUGAUGAUCUUAAUGAAACCUUGAAACAACUUUUGGUUAGAAUGAGUACAUUAGAGGGUCAUUCACGCCCCCCUAGAGAUCAUGAAAUCAGACGUUCUCAGAAAGUCACUCAUGUCGAAUCUUCAUCAGAUACUCACUGUACAUCUGGUUCUACAAGUUCUAAAUCAAGAUUUGAAGAAGAUAAUUUUCGAGAUUUUCGUAUAAAGAUUGAUUUACCUUGUUUUAAUGGCCAUUUGAAGAUUGAAGAGUUCUUAGACUGGUUAGUUGAAGUAGAACAAUUUUUUGAGUAUAUGAAAAUUUCAGAUGAAAACAAGGAAAGUUGUUGGCUUAUAAAUUGAAGGGUGGAGCCUCUGCCUGGUGGGAUCAAUUACAGACCACCCAUACAAGGUCAGGCAAAGAACCUGUACGAUCAUGGGAGAAAAUGAAGAAACUUUUGAAAUCUCGUUUUCUUCCCUCAGAUUAUGAACAGAUUUUAUAUCAAUAGUAUCAAACUUGCAGGCAAGGAAAUAGAUCAUUUUCUGAUUAUGCUGAAGAAUUUUAUCGUUUAUCUUCUCGAAUUGACAUGACAGAAUCUGAGUCAUAUAUGAUUUCAAGAUUUAAAGGUGGUCUCAGAUGGGAAAUUGAAGACAAAGUAGCUUUACAAUCAUUUUUCAAGCUCAAUGAUAUUAUAAUGGCUGUAAAAUGUGCUGAAGCUUUAUUAGAGAAAGGAAAAACUAGAAUUCGAAAUUUUAGAAAUCAAAAUUCAACUCCUCAGCCAGAAAGAGGAAGAUCCACUGGUUUUUCUUCUACACCCCACAACGAACGACUGAAUCAAAGUUCUGUUAGAUCAAGUGGAGCAAAUCUUACUGCCCAAGUCUCUUCUAACAAAAAUCCUUAUACUCCUAAUGUCAUUCCUAAAUGUUACAAGUGUGGAGAAAAUGGACACAAAUCAAAUAUCUAUCCGAAACGUGGCACAAUAAACCUUGCAGAUUCUAUUGAAGAAGAAAUAGAAUAUGAAAAACUAGAAAUUGAAGGUGAGCAAGAAGAAAAUUUUAUUGAAUUUGAUACUGGAGAUGCACUGUCCCAUUCACUUGUGGUGAGAAGAUUGAUGUAUUCACCAAAAAGAGAAGAAGACCCACGGCGCCAUAACAUUUUCAGAACAAGGUGCAUAGUGAAUUCUAAGGUAUGUGAUAUAAUUAUUGAUAGUGGCAGUAGUGAAAACAUUGUCUCCUCUAUCAUGGUUAAAAAAUUAGGUUUGCAGACAAGGCCACGCCCUCAUCCAUACCGAAUUGGUUGGAUCAAGAAGGAAAUAGAAACUAAAGUUUCAGAGAUGUGUUUGAUCAAAUUUUCAAUUGGGAAAACAUAUUCUGAUGAAAUACAAUGUGAUGUUGUUGAAAUGGAUGCUUGUCACAUGAUAUUAGGCAAACCAUGGCAAUUUGAUGUUGAUGCUACACACCGUGGUAAGGAAAAUAUUUAUAUUUUCUAUAGAAAUGGUAAAAAAUUUGUUUUGGCACCAAUGUAAGACAGUGAUUUUAGCAAAGGAAAAGAAGAGAGAAAAAAAGUAAUGUUAAUCAACCAAAUAGAGUUUCUUAAAGAGUUUGAUAUUAAUACUGUAUUAUUUGUUGUUGUUCAAAAACCUGAUUCGAACAUGAUAAUCAGAAAUAGGAUACCAAAAACUGUUGAAAAUCUGUUAUCUGAAUUUUUUGUAAUUCAAGAACUAUCAACUCAUCUGCCACCACUGAGAGAUGUACAGCAUCAUAUUGAUCUUAUAUCAAGAGCAAGUUUGCCAAAUCUUUCACAUUACAAGAUGACUCUAGAAGAAAAUCAAAUUCUACAAGAACAAGUAAAAGAUUUAUUGAGUAAAGGAUUGAUAAGAGAAAGUAUGAGCCCAUGCUCUAUGCCUGCUCUACUAGUUCUAAAGAAAGAUGGAAGUUGGCAAAUGUGUGUUGAUAGCAGAGCAAUUAACAAGAUAACAAUUAAGUAUAGAUUUCUAAUUCCAUGCCUAGAUGACAUGUUGGAUAUGCUCUGUGGUUCUAAAAUUUUUUCAAAAGUUGAUUUAAAGAGCAGAUAUCAUCUGAUUCGAAUUCGACAAGGAGAUGAAUGGAAGACUGCGUUUAAAACUAAGGCAGGUCUUUAUGAAUGGUUGGUCAUGCCUUCUGGUUUAUCUAAUGCCCCUAGUACCUUUAUGAGAGUGAUGAAUCAGGUUCUGAAACCUUUUAUUGAUAAAUUUGUCAUUGUUUAUUUUGAUGACAUUAUUAUUUACAGUACUACAGAAGAAGAACACAUUAAACAUCUCAGAUCAGUGUUUCAAGUGUUACAAUAGAAUAAAUUAUACAUUAACUUGAAAAAAUAUGACUUCAUGACUACUAGUUUAUUAUUCUUGGGAUAUAUUGUAAGUGCAGAUGGAAUCAAAGUGGAUGAAGAAAAGGUCAAAGCUAUUAAAGAUUGGUCAACACCAACCACAAUUCAUCAGGUUUGAAGCUUUCAUGGGUUGGCAUCAUUUUAUAAAAGGUUCAUACGAAAUUUUAGCUCAAUAAUGUUUCCAAUUACUGAAUGUAUGAAAAAAGGUAAUUUUAAAUGGACUGAUGAAGCAAGUAAAGUCUUUUCAAUGAUAAAAGAAAAAUUAUGUUCUACUCUUGUUUUGGCCCUACCAAAUUUUGAUAAACUGUUUGAAGUGGAAUGUGAUGCAUCCAUAGUUGGUGUUGGAGGUGUAUUAUCACAGGAAGUUCGGCCAAUAGCAUUUUUUAGUGAAAAACUUUCUGAGGUAAGAAAGAAAUGGACAACAUAUGAAUUAGAAUUUUAUGUCGUGGUUCGUGCUUUACAAACAUGGGAACACUACUUGAUUCAGCGAGAAUUUAUUUUAUAUACUGAUCAUCAGGCUCUUAAAUCAGUCAAUAGUCAAACUUCUAUUAAUAGAAUGCAUGUCAAAUGGAUCACAUUCCUUCAACAUUUUACUUUUGUUAUUAAACAUAAGUCAAGGAAAUUGAAUCGAGUUGCAGAUGCACUUAGUAGAAAAAUAGCAUGUUUGGUGAACUUGCAUGCUGAGAUCACAGGAUUUGACUAUCUCAAAGAAUUAUACCCAGAUGAUGAUGAUUUUUCUCAACAAUAUAUGAUCUGUAUGUCAGGAAUAUCAACCAAAGGUUUUCAUUUACAUGAUGAUUUCUUAUUUUGAGGAACACAGUUAUAUAUUCCUCGUAGCUCUUUAAGAGAGAAACUUCCACGAGAAUUACACUCUUUAAGUUUAGCAGGACACCUUGGUCAAGAUAAGACAUUAUAGUCAAUUGAAGAGCGGUAUUAUUGGCUUAAACUGAAGAAAGAUGUAGAAAAUUUUGUUCGUAAAUGUCAGGUUUGUCAAACCUACAAGGGACAAAGUCAAAAUACUGAACUAUAUACACCGUUGCCGAUUCCACAACGUCCUUGGGCUGAUAUUUCUAUGGACUUUAUAUUAGGUUUACCACAAACACAAAGAGGAGCUGACUCAAUUUUUAUUGUCGUUGAUCGAUUUUCAAAAAUGGCACACUUCAUCGCAUGUAAAAAGACAAAUGAUGCAAGUCAAGUAGCCAAUCACUUUUUCAAAGAAAUUAUUUGUCUACAUGGAAUUCUUGAGUCAAUUACAUCUGACAAAGAUUCUAAGUUUGUAUCUCACUUCUUGCGAACUCUUUGGAAAAGGUUUGACACAUUUUUGAAAUUUAGUAGCACUAAUCACCCACAAACUGAUGGCCAAACUGAAGUUGUGAACAAAACUCUUGGCAAUUUGAUUCGUUGUAUUUCAAGAGAAAAGCCAAAAUAAUAGGAUUAUGCUUUGGCUCAAGCAGAAUUUGCUUAUAAUUUGAUGAUUAAUCGUUCAAUGAACAAAUCUCCAUUUUCAAUAGUAUACUAUUUUCCUCCAAGAAUUCUAUUAGAUCUAUUAUAAGUAUCAAGAUCAGUUAGAACUAGUGUUGGUGCAAAUAAUAUGGUGGACCAUAUCAAAACACUUCAUGAAAGUGUGAUACACAAUCUCACAAUAAAUUAUGAGAAAUAUAAAGUAGCAACAUAUAAGAAAAGAAGAAAGAAGAUAUUUGAAGUUGGCGACAAAGUGAUGGUGUACCUUUGCAAAGAACGAUUUCCAGUAGGUAGCUACAAUAAGUUGAAGCCAAAGAAAUAUGGACCGUAUCAAGUUCUAUAGAAGAUCAAUGAUAAUGUAUACCUUAUUAAGCUCCCACCAAAUAUGACUAUUUCACCCACAUUUAAUGUCAGUGACAUAUACGAGUAUUAUGAAUAUUCAAAUGAAGACUCGAGGACGAGUUUUCUUGAAGAAGGAGAGACUGAUGUAGCCCAAGACACAAGUUGAAGUCCUAACUUCGAAGUUGGGCCCAAUUACCCUAAAUUUGGGCCAUAAAGUGAAAAGUAGUAAAGAGGGAGCCCACAUAUGUCACUAGUGGGCUAGAGGUCCGAAAAGUAAUACUUACUUUCUACUUUAUGUCCUUUCACUUCUAGAAGGCAUUUUAUGUCUCUUUCCUUCUAGAAGGAACUUUAAUGUGGUUCAAUCUGUACCCAAGAUAUGCUCAAGAUAUCAGAUUGUUAGAGUUUAUACCUAAGAUCUGCUUAGUGUAUCUACUUGUCAGAGCUUACUUUAUGUCACUUCAAAGUAUUUUCAAAGGAUCUGUUCAAGAUCUCAAUCUAUCAUAGUCUGUUUUAAGUCAUUUCAGUGUUAGUCAGAGUCUAUCAUCAAGAGUUGUCAGGAUCCUCCUUUUAUGAGCGCCCCCACCCCCUUUCUAGGCCUAUAUAAAGGCCCCCAUUGUAACUUGAGGGACUUACCUUUGAGUUGAAUCAGUUUUCUCCCCUAUGAGAACCUUUCCUUUUUUGCUUGUGGAUUCAGGCACCCUCUUGUGGACUCAAAGGUUGAAGACUCCGAAUCUGUGGAUUCAGAGGUUGGUUUCUUCUCCAAGAUUAGAGCUUUGUGGAUUCAAGCCCAAAUCUUGUUUAUCUUCCGCAUCACUGCUACGUCACUAAGGGUUUGAAAUGUGAGAAAAGGGUCUCUAAAAUUUCAAAUUUUAGACUGUUUUUAUUUUUUUUUUGCUGAUUUUUGACAGUCUACACUCUGCACUAUUUUCUAUUAUUUUUGACAGAACUAUGAAAUCAACACUAUAUUUUUUGAAAAAUUGCUCUUAUAGAUGAUGAAAAAUUACUAACAUAUGUUCAUGUUCAGUCUACAAUAUUAAGACUUAAUAUCUUCAUCACCUUACCCCCCAACUUAAAUUUGACAUUGUCCUCAAUGACACAAAUUACAAAAAAUAUAAUUUUCAAUCAAGUAUGCAUAUAAGCAAAAUUAAGCACGAAAAAUAUUGUAAUAAAGGAUCAAGUUCAAGAACAUAUAACCUCAGGCUUGCUUUCAAUUUCUCACUUUGUCUUACACUCCUCCUCCUGCACUUUUUUUUUUUCUUAAAAGAAGAAAAUAAUACAGAAAAAUAGAUGUUGCGAAAUUCAACAAAAGUAAAGUACUAAUUUAAAUAGAACCAUGGGUUGCCUCCCAUGCAACGUUGAGUUUAAUAUCUUCAGUUGGACACAUUAAUCUCAUUCUCGAAUUUCUUUUAAUAAUAAAAUCUCUUUCUCUAUAGGGCAUUCAUGUUCUAUGUAAGGUUUAAGCCUCUGUCCAUUUACCUUAAAACUAUGAUCAUUUUUAAUGUCUCUAAUCAUUACAGCUCCAUGAUCAUAUAUUUCUUCCACCACAUAAGGUCCUGUCUAUUUUGAUUUCAAUUUUCCUAGAAAUAGUUUCAAUCUAGAAUCAUAUAACCAUACUUUUUGUCCAACAUCAAAAAAUUUUCUGCCGAUGUACCUAUCAUGAAAUAUUUUCGUUUUUUCUUUUUAAAUUCUAUAAUUUUCGUAACCUUCAUUCCUUAACUCCUCUAAUUCAUGUAGCUAAAAAAUUCUAUACUCACCAACUGAUUUUUCAUCCAUACAUAAAUUUUUUAUAGCCCAUAAUACUUUAUGUUCUAUUUCCACAAGAAGAUGACAUGGUUUCCCAAAAAUGAGACGAAAUGGAGACAUACCUAUAGGAUUUUUAUAAGCUAUUCUAUAUGCCCAUAAUGUAUCUUGUAAUUUCGUGGGCCAAUCCUUCUUAUCUGGUCUAACUAUUUUUUUCAAAAUUAUCUGAAUUUCUCUAUUUGCUACUUCAGCUUGCC